GAUGAACGCUGGCGGCGUGCCUAAUACAUGCAAGUAGAACGCUGAAGGAGGAGCUUGCUCUUCUGGAUGAGUUGCGAACGGGUGAGUAACGCGUAGGUAACCUGCCUGGUAGCGGGGGAUAACUAUUGGAAACGAUAGCUAAUACCGCAUGACAACAGUUAUUGCAUGAUAACUGUUUAAAAGGGGCAACUGCUCCACUACCAGAUGGACCUGCGUUGUAUUAGCUAGUUGGUGAGGUAACGGCUCACCAAGGCGACGAUACAUAGCCGACCUGAGAGGGUGAUCGGCCACACUGGGACUGAGACACGGCCCAGACGCCUACGGGAGGCAGCAGGAGGGAAUCUUGGGCAAUGGACGGAAGUCUGACCGAGCAACGCCGCGUGAGUGAAGAAGGUUUUCGGAUCGUAAAGCUCUGUUGUAAGGGAAGAACGAGUGUGAGAGUGGAAAGUUCACACUGUGACGGUAUCUUACCAGAAAGAGACGGCUAACUACGUG
Molecule: ribosomal RNA, 495 nt
Filed under: uncultured bacterium
Lineage: Bacteria
Description: partial 16S ribosomal RNA
Rfam family: Bacterial small subunit ribosomal RNA
Source: RNAcentral